This 253-nucleotide ribosomal RNA is filed under the name uncultured bacterium. Its description in RNAcentral is "partial 16S ribosomal RNA". It matches the Rfam family "Bacterial small subunit ribosomal RNA", at positions 524 to 776 of the family's 1533-position model. The record is from RNAcentral.
UACGUAGGGGGCAAGCGUUGUCCGGAAUCAUUGGGCGUAAAGCGCGCGUAGGCGGCCCGAUUAGUCCGCUGUGAAAGUCCAGGGCUCAACCCUGGAAUGCCGGUGGAUACUGUCGGGCUAGAGUCCGGAAGGGGCGAGUGGAAUUCCUGGUGUAGCGGUGAAAUGCGCAGAUAUCAGGAGGAACACCAAUGGCGAAGGCAGCUCGCUGGGACGUGACUGACGCUGAGACGCGAAAGCGUGGGUAGCAAACAGG